Molecule: long non-coding RNA, 867 nt
Organism: Musa acuminata AAA Group (dessert banana)
Lineage: Eukaryota; Viridiplantae; Streptophyta; Magnoliopsida; Zingiberales; Musaceae
Exons: 2
Source: RefSeq, a predicted model, not a curated record
ACAGCUAUCGCCUCCUUCUCCUCCCUACAUCAGCAUCUUCUCUAACAUUGCAACUCCAUCGAUUACCGCUCUCUUCUCAAGUGCUCAUCUCUGCACCAAACGCCUUGCCCUCGACGCCCACUGCACCCUCCCCCCCUUUUUUUUGCUUUAGACCUUGGCACCUCUACCUCGUCGACCGCCAAUCCCUCCUCCAUUAACGUUGUUCGCAAAUUCACAGCAUUCAACACAACUCUCCCACAUCUCUACUAAUAUGUUGUUGUUGGUUUUCUCCGAGCAACCUCCUCUCGACGAAGCACUCGCCCCCUUCGUCCUUCGGUGGCUCCUCUUUACCAUCGUCAGUCCGUUCUUCCUCACUAACGAAGCACUCUCUAUCUCGAAGUACUCUCUGUUGACGAAGCAGUUCCUCCUCACCGAUAAACGUCCCCCCUUCCUUGUUGGCCGACAAUCCGAGACCUAGUUCUGCUGUUGCGAGUUUUCCUUCGGCGAGCGAUGGUGACCUUGGUUUCCCCCCAUCCAAGGAGUAUCUUGCCUCUACUACGUCCAUAAGCUUUCGUCCAGAGGCAUAGAUCACCACCAGGUUCAUCUGGCUGAGACUGGUCCAUUGGAUGGAAACAAAGGGCAGACCAUAUUUACUUCGUGCAACAAAUGAAGAUAAUGGAGACAAUAUGUCAUAUAUGAUCAAUCAGUAUCACUACUGACCAGCUUUCACCUAUUUGUGGUUACUUUUAGGAGACUGCAACUGUUCACAGAGAGCAUCAUUUAGUUAUGUUCCACUUGCACUUUCGGCCAUGUACCUGCAAAACAUUCAGUGAAAAAUCCCAUUCAACUAGAGCUUGGAAAUACAAUCCUUUCAGAAAAUUCAUAGCA